This 492-nucleotide ribosomal RNA is filed under the name uncultured bacterium. Its description in RNAcentral is "partial 16S ribosomal RNA". It matches the Rfam family "Bacterial small subunit ribosomal RNA", at positions 29 to 507 of the family's 1533-position model. The record is from RNAcentral.
AGUGAACGCUGGCGGUAGGCCUAACACAUGCAAGUCGAACGGCAGCACAGUAAGAGCUUGCUCUUACGGGUGGCGAGUGGCGGACGGGUGAGGAAUACAUCGGAAUCUACUUUUUCGUGGGGGAUAACGUAGGGAAACUUACGCUAAUACCGCAUACGACCUACGGGUGAAAGCAGGGGAUCUUCGGACCUUGCGCGAUUGAAUGAGCCGAUGUCGGAUUAGCUAGUUGGCGGGGUAAAGGCCCACCAAGGCGACGAUCCGUAGCUGGUCUGAGAGGAUGAUCAGCCCCACUGGCACUGAGCCACGGUCCAGACCACGACGGGAGGCAGCAGUGGGGAAUAUUGGACAAUGGGCGCAAGCCUGAUCCAGCCAUACCGCGUGGGUGAAGGAGGCCUUCGGGUUGUAAAGCCCUUUUGUUGGGAGAGAAAAGCAGCAGGUUAAUACCUCUCUGUUCUGACGGUACCCAAAGAAUAAGCACCGGCUAACUUCGUG